Symphalangus syndactylus (siamang) is the source of this 5527-nucleotide long non-coding RNA. RefSeq lists it as uncharacterized. NCBI's taxonomy places the organism in Eukaryota, Metazoa, Chordata, Mammalia, Primates, Hylobatidae. The record is from RefSeq and is a predicted model, not a curated record.
GGGAGCGCGCGUGGCGGGGCGCGCCCUCGGUCCCUUCCCCGGGAGGUGAGUGGUUGACCGGUCCGCCGGGGAGCCGGGGAGCGCCGGGGAGCCAAGCUGCAAGUGUCCCUCAGCAACUAGUCUCGCUGAGAUCCGACCCAGAGUUCGGCCUCUGACUGGACGCCUGGGAAUCCACUCCACGUUCUUCGGGGACUCUUGGACUUACACCAGCGUUUUGCCGAGGGCUCUGUAGGCUGCACUGUCAGCUUCCCUACUUUUGAGACUUUUGGACUCGGACUGAGCCACUACUGGCUUCCUUCUUUCUCAGCUUGGAGACGGCCUGUCAUGGACUUCGCCUUGUGAUCCUGGCAGGUGCAAGUGUGUUAGCCCCACCUGAACUGCAUGAACAGACUCGUUACUGCGAAGAGGGGAGCCGUAAUCAAAAGAAAGGAAAAGGAGCACAGUUGAAUCUAAUUAACAGGUGUUAAUUAUACCUUGCACAUUUUUAGAAUUCCGUGAAAUGAAAAAUGAACAUUCUUUAAAAAAUAAUUUAGUUUUUCAACCAUUGUCCACUCCCACCCCAAGUAGUCCUGUUUGUAUUGUUGCCAUCUGUAUGUCCAUGAGUACCCAAUAUUUGGUUCACACUUGUAAGUGAAAACGUGGUAUUUGGCUUUCUGUUCCUGCGUUAAUUCACUUAGGAUAAUGGCUACAUCCAUGUUGCUGCAAAGGACAUGAUUUCAUUCUUUGUUUUUAUGACUCCAUAAUGUUUCUGUUGUGUAUGUACCACAUUUUUUACCCCGUCCACCACUGAUGGGCACCUAGGUUGAUCCCAUGUCUUUGUUAUUGUGAAUAGUGCUGCGAUGAAUAUAUACAUGCAUAUGUCUUUUGGUAGAAUGAUUUAUUUUCUUUUGGAUAUAUACCCAGUAAUGGGAUUGCUGGGUCAAAUGGUACUUUUGUUUUCAGGUUUUUGAGAAAUCUCCAAACUGCUUUCUUUGCACACUGGCUGAACUAAUUUACAUUCCCAUCAACAGUGUAUACAGGUUCCCUUUUCUCUGCAGCCUUGUCAGCAUCUGUUAUUUUUUUACUUUUUAGCAAUAGCUAUUCUGACUGGUAUGAUAUGGUAUUUUAUUGUGAUUUGAUUUGCCUUUCUCUAAUGAUUAGUGAUAUGGAGCAUUUUUUUCAUAUAUUUGUUGGCUGCUUGUAUUUUUUUUUUUUUUUUGGAGAAGUGUCCAUGUCUUUUCUCCAUUUUUAAUGGGGUUAUUUGUUUUUGCUUGUUCAAUUGUUUAAGUUACUUAUAGAUUCUGGGUAUUAGACCUUUGUCAGAUGUGUAGUUUGCAAAUAUUUUCUUCCAUUCUGUAGGUUGUCCAUAUAAUUUGUUAAUAACUUAUCCUGCUGUGUGGAAGCUCUUUAGUUUAAUUAGGUCCCACUUGUCAAUUUUUGUUUUCAUUGCAAUUGCUUUUGAGGACUUAGUCAUAAAUUAUUUCCGAAGGCCAAUGUCCCUAAUGGUGUUUCCUAGGUUUUCUUCUAGUAGUCUUAUAGUUUGAGGUUUUAAAUUUAAAUCUUUAAUCUAUCUUGAGUUCAUUUUUGUAUAUGGUGAAAUGUAGGGGUUGAAUUUCAUUCUUCUGCGUAUUGCUAGGCAGCUAUCCCAGCACCAUUUAUUGAAUAGGAAGUCCUUUUUCCAUUGCUUAUUUUUGUCACCUUUGUCAAGAUCAGAUGGCUGUAGGUGUGCAGCUUCACUUCUGGAUUCUCUAUUCUGUUCCAUUUAUCUAUGUGUCUGUUUUUGUUGUAGCCUUAUAGUAUAGCUUGAAGUCAGGUAAUGUGAUGCCUCUGGCUUUGUUGUUUUUGCUUGGAAUUGCUUUGGCUAUUCAGGCUCUUUUUUGGUUCCAUAUGAAUUUUAGAAUAGUUUUUUUCUAGUUCUGUGAAAGAUGACAUUGGUAGUUUGAUAGGAAUAGUGUUGAAUAUGUAGAUUCCUUUGGCAGCAUGGCCAUUUUAACAAUAUUGACUCUUUUUCCGUGUUUUGUUUUGUUUUUUCUUUUUGUUUUUUUUGAGACGGAAUCUCCCUCUGUUGCUCAGGCUGGAGUGCAACCUCUGCCACCCAGGUUCAAGUGAUUCUCUUGCCUCAGCUUACUGAGUAGCUGGGAUUACAGGCAUGUGCCACCAUACCUGGCUGACUUUUGUAUUUUUAUUAGAGAUGGGGUUUUACCAUAGUGGCUAGGCUGGUCUCAAACUCCUGACCUCAAGUGAUCUACCCACCUCGGCCUCCCAAAGUGCUGGAAUUACAGGCAUGAGCCACCAUGCCCAGUGGUAUUUAUUCUUCUGAUCCAUGAGCAUGGAAUGCAUUUGUGUCAUCUAUGAUUUCUUUGAGCAGUGUUUUAUAGAUCUCCUUGUAAUGAUCUUUCAUCUCCCUGUUUAGAUGUAUUCCGAGGUAUUUUGUGUGUGUGUGGCUAUUGUAAAUGGGAUUGUAUUCUUGGUUUGGCUCUCAGCUUGAAUGUUGGUAUAUAGAAAUGCUACUGAUACUUGUACAUUGAUUUUGUAUCCUGAAACUUUACUGAAGUCAUCUAUCAGUUCUCUGAGCCUUUUUAUGGUGUCUUUAGAGUUUUCUAGGUAUAGAAUCAUAUUGUCCGUGGAGACUGAUAUUUUGACUUAUUUUCUGAUUUGAAUGCCUUUUAUUUAUUUCCUUUGCCUGAUUGCUCUGGCUAGCAAUGUACUACGUUGAAUAGGAGUGGUGAGAGUGGGCAUCCUUGUGUUGUUCCAGUUCUUAAGGGAAAUGCUUCCAGUUUUUUUUGUCCAUUCAGUAUGAUGUUGGCUGUGGGUUUUACAUAGAUGGCUCUUAUUUUUGGAGGUAUGCUCCUUAGAUGCCUAGUUUCUUGAGGGUUUUUAUCAAGAAGCAAUGUUGGGUUUCACUGAAAGCUUUUUCUGUGUUUAUUGAGAUGAUCAUAUGGUUUUUGUUUUUAAUUCUGUUUCUAUGGUCAAUCACAUUUCUUGAAUUGUGUAUGUUGAACCGACCUUGCAUCCUAGGAAUGAAGCCUACUUAAUUGUGGUGAAUUAACUUUUUGAUGUGCUGUUGGAUUUGGUUUGCUAGUAUUUUGUUGAGGAUUUUUGCAUCUAUGUUCGUCAGGUAUAUUGGCCUGGAGUUUCUUUUUUUUUUUUUUUCUGUUGUGUCUUUGGUAGGUUUUGGUAUCAGGGUGAUGCUGGCUUUGUAGAAUGAGUUAGGGAGGAGUACUUCCUCCAUGAUUUUUUAAAAAAUAGUUUCAGUAGAAUUGGUAUAAGCACUUUGCAUUUUUAGUAGAGAUGGGAGCUUCACCACAUUGGCCAGGCUGAUCUUGAACUCCUGACCUCAAGUGAUCCAUCAGCCUUGGCCUUUGGCCUCCCAAAGUGCUGGGAUUACAGGCAUGAGCCACUGGUCUCAAUUUCACUUAGUUUUUCUCUGAUUUUAGUUAUUUUUCUGCUAGGUUGGGGAUUAAUUUGUUUUUGUUUUUCUAGUUCCUCUAGGUGUGAUAUUAGGUUGUCAAUUUAAGAUUUUUUCAAGCUUUUUGAUGUAGGCAUUUAUUGCCAAAAAUACUACUCUUACCACUGUUUUUGCAGCAUCCCAGAUAUUUGUUAUGUUGUGUCUCUAGUUUCAUUUAUUUCAAAGAAUUUUUUGAUUUUUGCUUUAAUUUUAUUGUUUAUCCAAAAGUCAUUCAGGAGCAAGUUAUUUAAUUUCCAUGUAACUUUGUGGUUUUGAGAGAUUUAGGUAUUAAUUUCUAUUUCUGUUCCACUGUGGUCUGAGAGUAAGAUUCCUAUGUUUUUGAAUUUACUGAGGCUGACGUAAGUAUAUCUUGAUAUUUUGCUACUGUCAUUUGGGAGCAUACUCUAAAAAAUAUAAAUAUGGCAAAGCAUAUUGCCCUGCUCUGGCCCCGUUUCUUCUUCUUCUCCUCCUCUAGAGGCAACCACAGCUUUUUAAAAUAUAAAUAUAUAACUUUUAGUGUAUAUGCACGUAUCCAUAGAGAAUAUACAAAUUAUUAUUUGUAUUUCUAAAUUAAACAUAAAUAGCAUCAUAGUUUAUAGGUUCGUUUUCAACUUGCCUUUUAACAGCAUUUUUUGAACUAUACAAUCUGAUACAUGGAAAUCGAGUUUAUUCCUUUUAUCUGUUUAUUAUUCUAUUGUAUCAUUGCGGGAAGUCAGGGACGCCGAAUGGAGGGACCAGCUGAAGCAAUGGCAGAAGAACAUAGAUUGUGAAGAUUUCAUGGACAUUUAUUAGUUCCCCAAAUUAAUACUUUUAUAAUUUCUUACACCUGUCUUUACUGCAAUCUCUGAACAUGAAUUGUGAAGAUUUCAUGGACAUUUAUCACUUCCCCAAUCAAUACUCUUGUGAUUUCCUAUGCCUGUCUUUACUUUAAUCUCUUAAUCCUGUCAUCUUCAUAAGCUGAGGAUGAAUGUCACCUCAGGACCCUGUGAUGAUCGUGUUAACUGCACAGAUUGUUUAAACAAUAUGAAAUCUGGGUACCUUGAAAAAAGAACAGGAUAACAGCGAUGUUCAGGGAACAAGGGGGAUAACCAUUAGGUCUGGCUGCCUGAGAGCCGGGCGAAACAGAGCCAUAUUUCUCUUCUUUCAAAAGCAGAUAGGAGAAAUAUCGCUGAAUUCUUUUUCUCAGCAAGGAACAUCCCUGAGGAGAAUGUGUUCCCAAGAGGAGGUCUCUAAAGUGGCCAGUUUGGGAACAUCUGUCUUUUACGCUUGUAGAUAAGCGAUGAAAUAAGCCCCAGUCUCCCGUAGCGCUCCCAGGCUUAUUAGGAUGAGGAAAUUCCCGCCUAAUAAAUUUUGGUCAGAUCGGUUGUCUGCUCUCAAACCCUGUCUCCUGAUAAGAUGUUAUCAAUGACAAUGUGUGCCUGAAACUUCAUUAAUUUUGCCCCCGUCCUGUGAUCUCGCCCUGCCUCCAUUUGCCUUGUGAUAUUUUAUUACCUUGUGAAGCAUGUGAUCUCUGUGACCCACACCCUAUUCAUACACCCCCUCCCCUUUUGAAAAUCACUAAUAAAAACUUGCUGGUUUUGUGGCUUGGGGGGCAUCAUGGAAACUGCCGACAUGUGGUGUCUUCCCCGACACCCAGCUUUAAAAUUUCCCUCUUUUGUACUCUUUCCCUUUAUUUCUCAGACCGGCCAACACUUAGGGAAAAUAGAAAAGAACUUACAUGAAAUAUUGGGGGCUGGUUUUCCCUGAUAUUGUAUGAAUAUAAGAGAAAUUAUCCAUUCCUCUACUAAGGGAGAGUUAGAAUGAUUUUGAUUUUUUUAAAAUUUUUACUAAACUACUUAAUUGCUAUAGUUUUAUAGUGCAUCUUGACAUCUGGAUGUCUGGGUAGUGCAAGUCCCCUUCAGUUCCCCUUCAGAAUGUCUCUAUUCUUAGGCCUUUACUAUCUGAAUCUUAGGACUACCUUUUCAGAUUACAUAAAACCCAGCCAUGAGUUUGAUUUUGAUUGGAAUUGUAUUGCAUAUGCAGGUUAAUUAGUGAUGAACAACAUGUUGAUGAGGUUAAGUAUUCCUACUUAAGAACAUGGCUGCCAGGUGUGGUGGCUCA